This 326-nucleotide ribosomal RNA is filed under the name Clostridioides difficile. Its description in RNAcentral is "partial 23S ribosomal RNA". It matches the Rfam family "Bacterial large subunit ribosomal RNA", at positions 1035 to 1368 of the family's 2925-position model. The record is from RNAcentral. Lineage: Bacteria; Bacillati; Bacillota; Clostridia; Peptostreptococcales; Peptostreptococcaceae.
UCAGCUAAGGUCCCUAAAUGUAAGUUAAGUGGUAAAGGAUGUGGGAUUGCACAGACAACCAGGAUGUUGGCUUAGAAGCAGCCACUCAUUCAAAGAGUGCGUAAUAGCUCACUGGUCGAGUGAUCCUGCGCCGAAGAUUUCCGGGGCUAAAACUUACUACCGAAGCUACGGCAUCAGUAAUGAUGGGUAGGGGAGCUUCCCAUACGGGUUGAAGCAUGACCGUAAGGACAUGUGGACAGUAUGGGAGUGAGAAUGUUGGCAUGAGUAGCGAGAUGUGGGUGAGAAUCCCACAGGCCGUAAACCCAAGGUUUCCAGGGGAAGGUUCG